Molecule: transfer RNA, 74 nt
Filed under: Plantactinospora endophytica
Lineage: Bacteria; Bacillati; Actinomycetota; Actinomycetes; Micromonosporales; Micromonosporaceae
Also listed under: 1 other name
Description: tRNA-His
Rfam family: tRNA
About the family: Transfer RNA (tRNA) molecules are approximately 80 nucleotides in length. Their secondary structure includes four short double-helical elements and three loops (D, anti-codon, and T loops).
Source: RNAcentral
GUGGCUGUAGCUCAGUUGGCAGAGCACCGGGUUGUGGUCCCGGGUGUCGUGGGUUCAAAUCCCAUCAGUCACCC